CCAGCAGCCGCGGUAAUUCCAGCUCUAAUAGCGUAUAUUAAAGUUGUUGCAGUUAAAAAGCUCGUAGUCGGAUGUCGGGCUCGGGCAGGCUGUCGGCUUCGGUCGGACGGCAGGCUCGGGUCUUUCUGCCUGAGGAUCCCGUCACUUUACUGUGGCGGGGGACGCAGGCCGUUUACUUUGAAAAAAUUAGAGUGUUCAAAGCAGGCCUACGCUUGAAUACAUUAGCAUGGAAUAAUGGAAUAGGACUUUGGUGCUAUUUUGUUGGUUUAUGGGACCGAAGUAAUGAUUAACAGGGACAGUUGGGGCCGUUUAUAUUUCGUUGUCAGAGGUGAAAUUCUUGGAUUUACGAAAGAUAAACUUCUGCGAAAGCAUUCGGCAAGGAUGUUUUCA
Molecule: ribosomal RNA, 390 nt
Filed under: uncultured eukaryote
Lineage: Eukaryota
Description: SSU rRNA
Rfam family: Eukaryotic small subunit ribosomal RNA
Source: RNAcentral